AAACCAUUAGAAUUAUUAACCCCAGGAGAAAAAACUACACGGAUGAAGCAUACGUGUUUGCCAUGCAGACAGCAAGAUAUAGAAGUGCUUUCUAAGCGUUAUCCAGAAAGUUAUCUUCAAUUUAAUUAUAACACCAAAACCUUUUUUUUUUAGCCUGAAGCAUACGAGAAUAAUCUUUUGAUAAAUCAAGAUAUAAGACUGUAAAAUGAGACCAAAGCUGUACUUCCAUCAGCAAAUAAUUUGACACUGUUAAUGAAAGUACACUGGAUGUCUACAACAACCCCACACACAGAGCAGUAGACGUGUAAACCUUAUUUCUCUUCUAUUUUUAGCUGUGUUUGGUUGUUAUUGUCAUGAAAUCUCUCUACUUGUCAUUUUGUUUGAAAUCCUGAUGUGGUCAUGUCUAUGACACUUGUCCAUUUCAUUGGUUUUCGUGACAGUGUAAACUAGCAUUGAAGCCGGAUGGCCUAUUUUUAGCAGCUAUUUUGGUUGGAGAGAUCUUCAAGUUGUCUCUUCUUCUAUUUUAUAUUUUGAUUUAAUUUAACAGUAUGUUAACCAAUAAGUUUUCCUACUGAUUUUUCUGCUUGCUGCCAUAUGUGUGGGAGCUGAGAAUAGCAUGCACUGUGGUUCAAAUGGAGCGUGAAGGAGGCAUUAGUCCUUGCAUAUCACCUCUGGCACAAGACCGCGAUGCAGGCGAUCUCUUCCUGGAGUUGAUGUUGAUGAAUUCCUGCAAUCUCUUCCUGGAGUUGAUGUUCGUAGUUAGGUAUAGCAGUGCGCUGGAGCUGAUAGAGAGCAUCUAUGCAAUGGGCGAGACUAAUGCUUUUAUAUAAAGGAACAAUGCAAGGUGUGUAGCAAUUGAAGUUUUCCUUGUGUGUCGCAAAAUUGGAUUCAAUAUUCAAAUCUUAUUGGAAAUUCUUUUUGUUUGUUUGUGAAUGAAACCAAGUCUUGA
Long non-coding RNA from Populus euphratica (Euphrates poplar), 949 nucleotides. RefSeq lists it as uncharacterized. The record is from RefSeq and is a predicted model, not a curated record. The transcript is spliced from 3 exons. Lineage: Eukaryota; Viridiplantae; Streptophyta; Magnoliopsida; Malpighiales; Salicaceae.